Long non-coding RNA from Passer domesticus (house sparrow), 396 nucleotides. RefSeq lists it as uncharacterized. The record is from RefSeq and is a predicted model, not a curated record. NCBI's taxonomy places the organism in Eukaryota, Metazoa, Chordata, Aves, Passeriformes, Passeridae. The transcript has 2 exons.
CUGACAGGCUCUGUGUUCACAGGGGUGGCCGGCCGGCACCUGAGGGGGCAGCCAGGAGAGCUCCUGAUGAUCUACACUGCCCUUGAAGAAAUGACAGAUGACAUCAGUAUUGCCAUCCAAAGUGUGGCAAUUGAAACAUUGUGCAUUCUCAAGGCAGCAGAGCGGGCUCCGAUAUCCAAGUUCCAGAGACUGCAAGAUCAGCUGCACAGGGUGUGGAAGGCUCAGCCUCAUCUGUAACAUCUCAGCAGGCAGAGCUGCUGGAGCUCUGUGGACAAUUGAUCCCAGAGGCUCUUUUUGGUGCAGCCACCUGAGUACUCAGGAAUUUUGUUUUUCUUUUAGAAUGUUCUCCUUUUUAUUUUUUUUUCUAUGUAAAUAUAGAAUGUGUUAUAAUACAAA